This 29-nucleotide non-coding RNA is filed under the name Mus musculus (house mouse). Lineage: Eukaryota; Metazoa; Chordata; Mammalia; Rodentia; Muridae. The record is from RNAcentral.
UACCAUGGUGGAAGCUAUGAUCUGCGCUA